GGAGGAUCCGAGCGUUAUCCGGAUUUAUUGGGUUUAAAGGGAGCGCAGACGGGAGAUUAAGUCAGUUGUGAAAGUUUGCGGCUCAACCGUAAAAAUGCAGUUGAUACUGGUUUCCUUGAGUGCAGUUGAGGCAGGCGGAAUUCGUGGUGUAGCGGUGAAAUGCUUAGAUAUCACGAAGAACCCCGAUUGCGAAGGCAGCUUGCNUAAACUUGAACUGACGUUCAUGCUCGAAAGUGUGGGUAUCAANACAGGAUUAGAUACCCUGGUAGUCCACACGGUAANACGAUGGAUACUCGCUGUUGGCGAUNUACUGUCAGCGGCCNNGCGAANGCAUUNNGUNUCCCACCUGGGGAGU
RNAcentral lists this ribosomal RNA (355 nucleotides) under uncultured bacterium. RNAcentral describes it as "partial 16S ribosomal RNA". It matches the Rfam family "Bacterial small subunit ribosomal RNA", at positions 527 to 881 of the family's 1533-position model. The record is from RNAcentral.